Molecule: long non-coding RNA, 85 nt
Organism: Sphaeramia orbicularis (orbiculate cardinalfish)
Lineage: Eukaryota; Metazoa; Chordata; Actinopteri; Kurtiformes; Apogonidae
Exons: 3
Source: RefSeq, a predicted model, not a curated record
UUUCAAUAGAUUUCAAGUGGUCUGAGAGGAGAUGAGACUUCUGUAUUCACUCUUUGCCUGUUUUUUCACGCUAUAACAAAUCUAC